AUUGAACGCUGGCGGCAGGCCUAACACAUGCAAGUCGAGCGGAUGAAGGGAGCUUGCUCCUGGAUUCAGCGGCGGACGGGUGAGUAAUGCCUAGGAAUCUGCCUGGUAUUGGGGGAUAACGUCCUGAAACGGGCGCUAAUACCGCAUACGUCCUGAUGGAGCAAGUUGGGGAUCUUCGGACCUCACGCUAUCAUAUGAGCCUAGGUCGGAUUAGCUAGUUGGUGGGGUAAAGGCCUACCAAGGCGACGAUCCGUAACUGGUCUGAGAGGAUGAUAAGUCACACUGGAACUGAGACACGGUCCAGACUCCUAAGGGAGGCAGCAGUGGGGAAUAUUGGACAAUGGGCGAAAGCCUGAUCCAGCCAUGCCGCGUGUGUGAAGAAGGUCUUCGGAUUGUAAAGCACUUUAAGUUGGGAGGAAGGGCAGUAAGUUAAUACCUUGCUGUUUUGACGUUACCAACAGAAUAAGCACCGGCUAACUUCGUG
Molecule: ribosomal RNA, 484 nt
Filed under: uncultured bacterium
Lineage: Bacteria
Description: partial 16S ribosomal RNA
Rfam family: Bacterial small subunit ribosomal RNA
Source: RNAcentral